AGAGUUUGAUCCUGGCUCAGGAUGAACGCUGGCGGCGUGCCUAACACAUGCAAGUCGAACGAGGCCCUUUGUAUUCGUACGAAGGUGUCCGAGUGGCGAACGGGUGAGUAACACGUUGGUGACCUGCCCCGAAGAAGGGGAUAACUCCGGGAAACUGGAGCUAAUACCCUAUGUGCUCCAAGGAGUUAGAGGACUUUGGAGUAAAGGAGCAAUCCGCUUUGGGAGGGGCCUGCGGCCCAUCAGCUAGUUGGUAGGGUAAUGGCCUACCAAGGCUAUGACGGGUAGGGGACCUGAGAGGGUGGCCCCCCACAAUGGCACUGAAACACGGGCCAUACACCUACGGGUGGCAGCAGUGGGGAAUAUUGCCCAAUGGACGAAAGUCUGAGGCAGCAACGCCGCGUGCGCGAUGAAGGCCUUCGGGUUGUAAAGCGCUUUUCUGGGGGAAGAGGAAGGACGGUACCCCAGGAAUAAGUCUCGGCUAACUACGUGCCAGCAGCCGCGGUAAAACGUAGGAGGCGAGCGUUAUCCGGAUUACUGGGCGUAAAGCGCGUGUAGGCGGUUUGGUAAGUCGGACGUUAAAGCUCCUGGCUCAACUGGGAGAGGCCGUUCGAGACUGUCAGACUAGAGGGCAGCAGAGGGAGGUGGAAUUUCAGGUGUAGCGGUGAAAUGCGUAGAUAUCUGAAGGAACACCAGUGGCGAAGGCGGCCUCCUGGACUGUCCCUGACGCUAAGACGCGAAAGCUAGGGGAGCGAACGGGAUUAGAAACCCCGGUAGUCCUAGCUGUAAACGAUGCAGACUUGGUGUUGGUGGUGUAGAAGCCAUCAGUGCCGUAGCUAACGCGUUAAGUCUGCCGCCUGGGGACUACGACCGCAAGGUUAAAACUCAAAGGAAUUGACGGGGGCCCGCACAAGCAGCGGAGCGUGUGGUUUAAUUCGAGGCUACGCGAAGAACCUUACCUGGGUUUGACAUGUUCGUAGUAGGGAUCCGAAAGGUGACCGACCCUUCGGGGAGCGUACACAGGUGCUGCAUGGCUGUCGUCAGCUCGUGCCGUGAGGUGUCCGGUUAAGUCCGGUAACGAGCGCAACCCUUACUCUGUGUUAUAAGUGUCACAGGGGACUGCCGGUAUAAAGCCGGAGGAAGGUGGGGAUGACGUCAAGUCAGCAUGGCCUUUAUAUCCAGGGCUACACACACGCUACAAUGGUCGGUACAAUGGGUCGCGAAGCCGCGAGGCGGAGCCAAUCCUCCAAAGCCGAUCUCAGUUCGGAUUGUAGGCUGCAACUCGCCUGCAUGAAGUUGGAGUUGCUAGUAAACGCAGGACAGCUAUACUGCGUUGAAUACGUUCCCGGGCCUUGUACGCACCGCCCGUCACGUCAUGGAAGCUGGCAACACCUAAAGUCGGUGACCCAACCGCAAGGAGGGAGCCGCCAAAGGUGGGGCUGGUAACUGGGACGAAGUCGUAACAAGGUA
Molecule: ribosomal RNA, 1467 nt
Filed under: metagenome
Description: bacterial SSU rRNA
Rfam family: Bacterial small subunit ribosomal RNA
Source: RNAcentral